UAGCAGAAUAUACAAGCCAGAGUCUUUCAAUCUGAAAAAAAAUCUGGACCUUUUAAUGACCUUUCUAUUGAUUAGAUUUUUGAGAUGAUAAUGAGAUAAUAAAUCACCACUGAUAAUUAGGAAUUCUUAAACCUGUUUAGCUGGUAUAGCAGUACAGAAAAGCACAGCAUAACAUUUCUAUGCCUUCAAGAUACUGAGUGUACCACAACCUUGUAUCUUGGCUGCAGCUGCUUCUGGGCCAUGCCAUCCUCCUCCAUGAGAAGCUUGCCUUUUCCUGAGGGCUGUAGUUGCUGUGGAGGACUGCACAUAUUUUAGUCUUCUGGUAGUUGGAAAACAAAAGGCACCUUCAAAAUGUGCUCUGACAGACAGCUCAUUGGACAAGUCGCCUGUCCUGGCUUGUGACCCAAGGAGAAAUUUAUGUUUCUUACAUUUUUCCUAUAGCUGCUCAAUAGAGGUUAGGACAGAGUCCCAGGCAUGUUCUAAAGCUUCACUAAUGUUUUCCAUAUCUGCAGAAACAGGGCCAAGUCUGAGUCCCUUCACAGUCCAUGGUGAAACUCACUUUGAGUACUGGGACAGAUACUUGGCCUACAUUCCUUAGUUUGUGUUACUUUAUCUGGUUGUCUCUAGUGCUCAAGGAAUAAACUGUUAAGAAUGGAUUUAUAUAUCCUCUAAGGAAGAACUGGAAGUAACUCAGAAUACAGAGAAAAAGAAAAACAAUAAAAUAACUGCUAUAUCAUGGUGCUGACAACCCACAGAGGAGAGAAAUGGAGAAGCUGUGCUGUCCUCUCCAUCCCAGAGGAGGCGGUGAGGGAAUCAGCAAUGGGCUUGGCAGCCUCGCGCUGUGCAAGGCAGGGUGGAGCAGCCUGUGCUGGGUCAUACGGAUUGAUUUGGCCUCAUGACAGUAAAAUGACACUUCUUUUAAAGAAGAAAAGCAACAAUGGCAACCAAAAGAAAAAGGCAUUGAGAGUGGGGGAAAAAAUCAAUCUUGGAAGACUUGUUGACCAAUGAAGCUCUAAGUUUAGUUAUGUUGUAUCUGCUCUUUGGCAUUUUGCUCUUCCAGUUACACUGCCUGAUUCUUUCAAACAAUGAAAACUGUAUCUCUAAAACUGUAUGUAUAUGUGGACCUAAAUUUUGUAAGUCUCCCUGGUCUUGGGACAGGUAGACAGCACAGGUAGAGCCCUGCAUUUUGUGACUGAGGUAGAGCAUCCAGCAGGCAAGGCUGCGUUUGUUGGGAUGUCAGGUGGGUACAAUAACCUUGGGGCCAAGUCCACUGCCUUCUG
RNAcentral lists this long non-coding RNA (1280 nucleotides) under Numida meleagris (helmeted guineafowl). RNAcentral's name for it is "lncRNA (ENSNMEG00000019220.1)". The record is from RNAcentral. Lineage: Eukaryota; Metazoa; Chordata; Aves; Galliformes; Numididae.